RNAcentral lists this ribosomal RNA (429 nucleotides) under Gemmatimonadota bacterium. RNAcentral's name for it is "Gemmatimonadetes bacterium partial 16S ribosomal RNA". It matches the Rfam family "Bacterial small subunit ribosomal RNA", at positions 355 to 776 of the family's 1533-position model. The record is from RNAcentral. Lineage: Bacteria; Pseudomonadati; Gemmatimonadota.
UAGGGAAUCUUCGGCAAUGGACGAAAGUCUGACCGAGCAACGCCGCGUGAGUGAAGAAGGUUUUCGGAUCGUAAAACUCUGUUGUUAGAGAAGAACAAGGACGUUAGUAACUGAACGUCCCCUGACGGUAUCUAACCAGAAAGCCACGGCUAACUACGUGCCAGCAGCCGCGGUAAUACGUAGGUGGCAAGCGUUGUCCGGAUUUAUUGGGCGUAAAGCGAGCGCAGGCGGUUUCUUAAGUCUGAUGUGAAAGCCCCCGGCUCAACCGAGGAGGUGCAUUGGAAACUGGGAUGCUUGAGUGCAGAAGAGGGGAGUGGAAUUCCAUGUGUAGCGGUGAAAUGCGUAGAUAGAUGGAGGAACACCAGUGGCGAAGGCGGCUCUCUGGUCUGUAACUGACGCUGAGGCUCGAAAGCGGGGGAAGCAAACAGG